Molecule: small RNA, 576 nt
Filed under: Cryptococcus neoformans H99
Lineage: Eukaryota; Fungi; Basidiomycota; Tremellomycetes; Tremellales; Cryptococcaceae
Description: Cryptococcus neoformans var. grubii H99 hypothetical RNA
Source: RNAcentral
UUAAAUUUGACUUAAUUUAAAUUUACAGGACCAUUUAUGUUUUCUCUUAUAUGUAGGUUUUUGCUUAAAUCAGCUGUAUGGUUUAAUUAAAUUUAAACUACUGGCCGACGCUUCACAACGUCCCACCCACGAACUUUCAUCUUUAGCAGUCCUCUAUAUCUCUGCAGCGUAAGGGACAUCAUACAUUAUAUAAUUAUAUUGUCGUCUCUAUCAUCAUAAUUCCAGAACUCUGGAAGGGCAGAUAGAUGCUGCAACUGAGAUUGUAUCUCAAAAUCCGGAUUAGGAUCGAUUGAAGUACAUCAACCUGGUUGGGCCACAAAAACAGACACAUGAAUGAGAACAAUGGCUUCCGUUGCCCGGCGAUACAUGACCAAUAGGCCGAUGCCUGGGUUGCUAUCGGAGGGGGGAAAGAUCUCAACUAUGAACCAGGAGGAAAACAUGAUAUAUCAGCUUGGGGUAUUGCUUACGCAUGAACACGUACUGGAGGCAAUGUACAUGAGAACAUGCAGACUCACCAAACGAGAAGUGCCUCCUCCUCUAGGAUAACACAAACAACACAAAGUCCGCAAGAGCCGG